GCUCGUGUGGCGUAAUGGCAACGCGUCUGACUUCUAAUCAGAAGAUUGUGGGUUCGACCCCCGCCAUGAGCU
Molecule: non-coding RNA, 72 nt
Organism: Zygosaccharomyces rouxii
Lineage: Eukaryota; Fungi; Ascomycota; Saccharomycetes; Saccharomycetales; Saccharomycetaceae
Source: Rfam